GCUCAGGAUGAACGCUAGCUACAGGCUUAACACAUGCAAGUCGAGGGGCAGCGGGAUUGAAGCUUGCUUCAAUUGCCGGCGACCGGCGCACGGGUGAGUAACGCGUAUCCAACCUUCCGUACACUCAGGGAUAGCCUUUCGAAAGAAAGAUUAAUACCUGAUGGUAUGAUGAGAUUGCAUGAUAGCAUCAUUAAAGAUUUAUCGGUGUACGAUGGGGAUGCGUUCCAUUAGGUAGUAGGCGGGGUAACGGCCCACCUAGCCAACGAUGGAUAGGGGUUCUGAGAGGAAGGUCCCCCACAUUGGAACUGAGACACGGUCCAAACUCCUACGGGAGGCAGCAGUGAGGAAUAUUGGUCAAUGGACGAGAGUCUGAACCAGCCAAGUAGCGUGAAGGAUGAAGGUCCUACGGAUUGUAAACUUCUUUUAUAAGGGAAUAAACCCUCCCACGUGUGGGAGCUUGUAUGUACCUUAUGAAUAAGCAUCGGCUAACUCCGUGCCAGCAGCCGCGGUAAUACGGAGGAUGCGAGCGUUAUCCGGAUUUAUUGGGUUUAAAGGGAGCGCAGACGGGUCGUUAAGUCAGCUGUGAAAGUUUGGGGCUCAACCUUAAAAUUGCAGUUGAUACUGGCGUCCUUGAGUGCGGUUGAGGUGUGCGGAAUCCGUGGUGUAGCGGUGAAAUGCUUAGAUAUCACGGAGAACUCCGAUUGCGAAGGCAGCACACUAAUCCGUAACUGACGUUCAUGCUCGAAAGUGUGGGUAUCAAACAGGAUUAGAUACCCUGGUAGUCCACACGGUAAACGAUGGAUACUCGCUGUUGGCGAUAUACUGUCAGCGGCUUAGCGAAAGCGUUAAGUAUCCCACCUGGGGAGUACGCCGGCAACGGUGAAACUCAAAUGAAUUGACGGA
RNAcentral lists this ribosomal RNA (903 nucleotides) under uncultured bacterium. RNAcentral's name for it is "bacterial SSU rRNA". It matches the Rfam family "Bacterial small subunit ribosomal RNA", at positions 22 to 917 of the family's 1533-position model. The record is from RNAcentral.